This 200-nucleotide ribosomal RNA is filed under the name uncultured bacterium. RNAcentral's name for it is "partial 16S ribosomal RNA". It matches the Rfam family "Bacterial small subunit ribosomal RNA", at positions 524 to 723 of the family's 1533-position model. The record is from RNAcentral.
UACGGAGGGGGUUAGCGUUGUUCGGAAUUACUGGGCGUAAAGCGUACGUAGGCGGCUUUGUAAGUUAGGAGUGAAAUCCCCGGGCUCAACCCGGGAACUGCUCUUAAGACUGCAGAGCUUGAGGACGAGAGAGGAAAGUGGAAUUCCUAGUGUAGAGGUGAAAUUCGUAGAUAUUAGGAAGAACACCAGUGGCGAAGGCG